Molecule: long non-coding RNA, 361 nt
Filed under: Sorghum bicolor (sorghum)
Lineage: Eukaryota; Viridiplantae; Streptophyta; Magnoliopsida; Poales; Poaceae
Description: long non-coding RNA (SBIC_LNC005719)
Source: RNAcentral
GACACUGAUCUGGAGGAGGCAUUCAAGAACCUCUUCUUGGAUGAUCAAGGCUCCUCCCAAGGCGAUGGGAGCGGCACCGGCAGUGGCGGUACUGCUGCUGGUGGCUAGAAGGGGAACUGGUGACUAGAGAGAGGUAUGGCUCUACAUUCUGUCAAUGUCUUUACAUUUUACACUUAUAUAGUUAUGGCAAAAGACUAACAAAACAAUGUUGUUUAUGGAUUUGUAAGUGCUUUUGGACUUUUUGGCAGAGGCAGACAGUGGCAAUGUGUCAUACCAGUGAUAGUGAGGCAAUAUAUUGAUGUUGAUCUUGAUCAGUUGAUGUUGCCAUGUUGGCUGGUGGCCUGGUGUAAUAGGGUAGAUG